AGCGAACGCUGGCGGCAGGCCUAACACAUGCAAGUCGAACGAACUCUUCGGAGUUAGUGGCGGACGGGUGAGUAACACGUGGGAACGUGCCUUUAGGUUCGGAAUAACUCAGGGAAACUUGUGCUAAUACCGAAUGUGCCCUUCGGGGAAAGAUUAUCGCCUUUAGAGCGGCCCGCGUCUGAUUAGCUAGUUGGUGAGGUAAAGGCUCACCAAGGCGACGAUCAGUAGCUGGUCUGAGAGGAUGAUCAGCCACAUUGGGACUGAGACACGGCCCAAACUCCUACGGGAGGCAGCAGUGGGGAAUCUUGCGCAAUGGGCGAAAGCCUGACGCAGCCAUGCCGCGUGAAUGAUGAAGGUCUUAGGAUUGUAAAAUUCUUUCACCGGGGACGAUAAUGACGGUACCCGGAGAAGAAGCCCCGGCUAACUUCGUGCCAGCAGCCGCGGUAAU
This 448-nucleotide ribosomal RNA is filed under the name uncultured bacterium. Its description in RNAcentral is "bacterial SSU rRNA". It matches the Rfam family "Bacterial small subunit ribosomal RNA", at positions 29 to 524 of the family's 1533-position model. The record is from RNAcentral.